UGAUAUUUUUCAUGAAGAUGAACAGCAAACGGAUAAUUGUAUAUGAUAUAUAUUUUAGAUUUAAAUCAGAUUAUACAUGUAUUUUUAUAUAUUUUAGAUCGUUAAAAUAUUAUAUUUGAUAUAUUGUUUGACACACGAUUUAAAAUUUAAUUCCUGUAAAAUCUUAGAUCCAAAACCCUAGGUUCUGUUUGCAUGAAAAUAUGAAACUAUGACUGGUAUGCCUAUGG
This 227-nucleotide long non-coding RNA is filed under the name Elaeis guineensis (African oil palm). RNAcentral's name for it is "long non-coding RNA (EGUI_LNC038974)". The record is from RNAcentral. Lineage: Eukaryota; Viridiplantae; Streptophyta; Magnoliopsida; Arecales; Arecaceae.